GUUUGUUUUUUGAACUUGUGACCAGGAGCUGGUCCCCGCCUGGCGAAUGGGAGAUCACUGCUGGAUAUAAACCCUGCCAAACUGGAGGGCCCAGCACACACUGCGGCCAGCCCACUGUCCACUUACCUCCCGAGACCUGCCUUCACCAUUGGACCUGAGGAUGGAUACCUCAGAGAGCAGCUGCCUGGGAAAGAAUUCCAAGAUGUGGGAACAAUUACUGAUGUGUGUUACAGUGACAAUGUGCCUGAGGUGGAGAUUUUCAGCCUGUUGGAGGAGGGUUUGCCCAGGUACACACUGCGAGUGGACACGUUGUACGGUUACAGUCACGAUGACUGGUUAAACACUCCCCUGGUGCCCCCAGACGUUAACAUCCACCUCAGCCAGGAGCAGAUCGAAGAGACACUCAAAUAUUUCCUUCUCUGUGCGGAGAGGGUGGGCCAGGUGACAAAGACAUACCGAGAUAUCGAGGCUGUCACCCACUUACUGGAGGAGAAAGAGCGGGAUCUGGAGCUCGCCGCUCGGAUUGGACAAUCCCUGCUUAAACAGAACCGCAUCCUGACAGAGAGUAAUGAAAACCUGGAA
This is a long non-coding RNA of Rhincodon typus (whale shark), 582 nucleotides long. RefSeq lists it as uncharacterized. Lineage: Eukaryota; Metazoa; Chordata; Chondrichthyes; Orectolobiformes; Rhincodontidae. The record is from RefSeq and is a predicted model, not a curated record. The transcript has 4 exons.